RNAcentral lists this ribosomal RNA (861 nucleotides) under Triticum aestivum (bread wheat). Its description in RNAcentral is "partial small subunit ribosomal RNA". The record is from RNAcentral. Lineage: Eukaryota; Viridiplantae; Streptophyta; Magnoliopsida; Poales; Poaceae.
AUGGUGUGGCAACACCCAGAUCCGCCGCCGCCACCAUCUGGAGGGGCCAGAUCUGGCGGAGGUACUGAAGAUCGAUGGGAGGCUGCGGCAAGGGCAAUGGGUGGAGACGCCAAGGCGCGGGCGAAUACGACGACGUCGACGGUUCAGACGGCUUCAUCGGCAACGGUGGAUGCUCCAGAUCCAGCUACCAAGGUCAACGACAAGCUCUGCCUCAACUGCAACCUCCCAGGUCACUUUGCUCCUCGCUGCCCUACUGUUCGUUGUGAGAAAUGCAAUAAGCUUGGGCAUAUGGUGCAGUUGUGUCAAACUCUGAGGCCGUGGGAAUGCGUACCUUUUCUGUGUGGUUUCCAAUCCCCUGGGCAAGGCUUUUUCUAUAUCCCUGAUUUGUGUGUUGCUAAGAAGAAUGAGGAAACGAACAAUGUAGUGAUUUCUAUUGUGGAGGGGAGUGCCACAGCUAAAGAAAUUGAAUCUGAGUUUAAUGGCUUCUUUGCUCAUAAGCCUGGUAAAAAGAAAUGGAGCCGUACAGCUCGUCCCAUUGGUCAUAAUCAAUUUGUGAUGAGAUUUCCUAAUGCUAGUGAGGUGGAGAGGGCCUGUUACUAUGGGAAACGCCUACCUGUGAAAGAUGGGGCUGCUGUGGUCAACUUAAAGCCCUGGUCAGCUUCUGUUGGUGCUAAAGGGGGAAUGGAAAAAGCAUGGGUUAGAGUUUGUAAUAUUCCUUUAGAGAAAAGAUGUUCUGAGCAUGUCGCAUAUGCAGGAGGGUUAGUAGGUAUCACUCUUGAGGUGGAUGAAUCUACUCUGCAUAAACCUGAGUACGUUAGAAUUCUUCUUGGAUGUAGAGAGGUGACCCCCCCCCACUGCUGA